This is a long non-coding RNA of Meriones unguiculatus (Mongolian gerbil), 2490 nucleotides long. RefSeq lists it as uncharacterized. The transcript has 5 exons. Lineage: Eukaryota; Metazoa; Chordata; Mammalia; Rodentia; Muridae. The record is from RefSeq and is a predicted model, not a curated record.
AGCCCGGGGAGCAGGGAGCCCACGACCCCUUCGGCGCGCGUGCGCGGUGCGGUUCACACGCACCCCCCCCCCCCCCAACCCCCGCCCGGGCCGCAGAGGCCUCGGCGGCGCCAGUCUCGGCUCCGGGAGCGCGGCAGGCGGCAAAACCCGGGCCGGACAGGGGCGCGGAUCGUACGGCGUGGCGGGGCCGGAGAAGCUGCGGAGUUCCCAGUCGGGCCCCAGAGGCGAAGGAUCGGCCGAGGGCAAAGCCAUGUCUGCGGUUGCCAGGACCUGAAGAUGCAGGAGCGACCCGAACUGUUUCUGGAAAAGUCAUAUUUUCCAGGCUUUCGUCAAAUAGUCGCCGCUCCUGUUCUAAAUCCGGAGGCGGCUGUGCAUCUAUUUCAAGGAGAAAGGAAGAUGUGGUGAGAAUCGAACCGGAGAGUCUUGCCUGAGCUGUUUCUCCAACCACUGCCCUGGAAUAAUUUAACUGGCUGAAGCAAGACUCUGUCUUUUGAAGCUCAGGGCUCUGUUGCAAUCGAGGGCUGCCGGUCACAUUGGGCAUUCUCCUACGGAUUACCGAAGAACAGAGAGUCAUUUUUCAUCCCCUAUGCCAUCUGGCUCCAGCAACUACAAGACCUUUCUGGGCCUCAAUAACUUCAUCUGUGAAAUGAAGGAAACGAAGAUGCCACACUUGGAGAGUUGUUUUGAGAAUGAAAACAUAUAUAGACUCAUAAUGAAUGCUGUACUGUGAUCCCACAACCCCUGUUGAUUGUCCUAGCCACCGGGGAUGUCAAACAGAGAUGCCCACAGCUCAUUUUUCAGUCCUCUUGGGAAACAAUGACUUGGCAGCACCAGCUUGCAAGGUCCAACUUCCUUGCCUCGGUUUAGGAAAGAAUGGCCAGAUCCAUCCAAGCAUGUCAGGGCACCAGGCAUCACUCCUGAAAGAGAUGUUAGAGAUCUCUUGCCAAAGUCAUCCUGGAGCCUUUUGGAAGCCGAAGAUUGGAUGCAUCUUUACUCUAGUCAUCUAACAACUUUAAAUAUUACUCAACACUCUUUUAGAAACCCCAGAAAGGGAAGCAAUAGAUGCAAUCUCCAAAUCAUUUAAAGUGCAAACUUGUCAAAGCAGAAAAAAGGAGAGAGGGUCCCUUCGUGUGCAGCUGCUCUGGAGGCCAUUCACUCAUCGGUAACGAGGUCUCCUUCCUCUGUACCAGCUGGGAUCGCCUCAAGGCCUGGGGGGUAUGCCCUGUGUGCUAUGAGACGUUAUUAGCAUUCAACACCCCUUUCUGUGGCUGCAAAAUGACCAGCACUUUCGUGGGUCUUUUGACCGGUAUAUCUCCUGCUUUGUCAUAUUCAGGACAGGUGCACAUAUGCACAAUUGAAUGGCCUGUUUCCCCUUCGUGCUGCUUGGCAAAGCAAGCCUACUGAGUACUGUACAGCAGUUGGUGAUAAAUCUUUGCUUUUAUUCUUAUUUUGCAGAAGAAAACCUAGGAAAAGUCCUUUUCGCUCGGAACGCUUUCAAGAAGAGGGCUGGAGUGUAGCUGAGUAAUGAGGCUCUGUCCUGGGGAGGACAGUUGGAGAUCUCACUCAGUUGGUAAAGUGUUUGCCCAAGAGAGGAGGGCUAAGAUGUAGCUCGCUGGUAAAGCACUUCUCUAGAUUUUUUUUGAAAGACGCUGUGUUCAAUCCUCAGGGUUUCAUGAAAAAAUGGGCAGGAAAAGUGAGGUGCCGGGCAGCAGCUAGACAUCAGGCCUGAUGCUAGGGUCCUAGCUCACAUUUGGGAACUGAAUCCACACCUUGACACUUGGAGGUAGCUGGCACCGUCCUCAGCUUAGAGAGGAGCAGAGAGUUUGGAAGGAUGGAGGAUGUGCCUUGGGUGCCUCUGAGGGAAAGCAUCAGACUGGCAUGUGAACUACUCUGGUCUCAAGUCUUACAGUGUCAUGUGCCCUUAGGCCAGUGACCAGCUCCAAAGCUUGCUUAUCUCCUUCGUAGCUUCCUCUCUGCCAUUGUCCUCAUUUUAAAUUUGAUUUAAUUUAUCAUUAGUAGUAGUGGGUGCCAUAUAUGUGCACAGUGCCUGUGUGGAGAUCAGGGGACAACUUUUGGGACUCAGUUCUCUCCUUCCAUUAGUGUUUCUUGGGAACGGAAUUCAGCCCUCUGGCUUGGACUCUUAUCUGCUGAGCUAGCACAUUUGCCCUGGGUUCUACUUCUGGAAAAAAAAAAAAAAAAAAAACUAUAGGAAGUUGCCCAACUAGAUCAAAACUGUUGUCACCUGGGGAUGGAGCAAUGCUCUCACAAAGGACACAGUUCGGUUCCCAGCACCCACACAAUGGCUCAUAGCCAUCUGUAAUUUAAGUUCCAGAGGACCCAAUGCCCUCUUCAGACCUCAUCUUCUACUGCCCUGGUGACACUUAGGUAUAUUCACAAACCCACGAAAUAAAAUUAGUAUUUAAAAAAUAUUAUCGAUCUACAACCAUUCAACCAGGGUGGUGAGUUAUGAAAUGGAGCACAAGAAGGUGA